Molecule: long non-coding RNA, 2142 nt
Filed under: Marmota monax (woodchuck)
Lineage: Eukaryota; Metazoa; Chordata; Mammalia; Rodentia; Sciuridae
Source: RNAcentral
CCUAAGAAUGUCGAACAUUUUUUCACUUAUUUCUUGGCUAUGUGUAUUAUUAUUUAAAUAGGAAGACUGCAUCAUGAUAAACAUAAUGCUCUUAGAGCCCCUCCUGGAACUUUUCUCCAAGAAUUUACUAGCCAUGUCCUUUUAUUGAAGUUAGCUGCAUACCUAUCAAUCUUACCUACUAGUUUAAAAACAUCCCAGCUAGAUUUUUACACUUCUCUCCAGUGCCUUGCAUUGAGUGGAUUCUCAAGAAAUAUUUGAUGAAAGAAGAAGAAAACCAGAUGCAGAUAUAAAGGGCUACAUGUACAAAGGUUUAACAAAAUCUUUUCCCUCUCUUGAGAGGGAAAUGAGAAUUUGACCUUUAGUUUAGUUUCUAGGUCUGUUCCCCUGAUAACCUGAUAUAUGGUAUAUGAAUAGUAUCACCAUACAAUAUUGACUAUGAUUGACAAUUGCUUAAGGACUGGUAGAACUGGAAAUACCUGAUAUAGUGCUUUGGGCUUUCCUAAGUGUGGUACCUGUAGGUAUAGUCUGUUGUGCGGACUUUGGAAACUGCCUAUCAAGUUGUGAUGAGAGACUGGUUUCUGUGCAGCAUGAAUCUUUUAAGCCAGGGAUACCCCUGAAUCUUCCCACUGGGCUCUUGUCUCCUUGCACCCAGGCUGCACAGUUGGGCCUUACUGCUGGUGUGUACUGCUGCAAAAACUCCUAAACACAAGGAACCUCAUGUUGCCCUCUUGGAAGCUAUGUACCUGUCCUAUAUCAUUCUGUGCUGAUGGUGGCCAAGUGUGGUCUAUAAUAGUCAUAUCAUUCUGGGGAUAUAGCUCAAUGGUGUGCUUGCCUAGCAUGCACAAGGUCCUGAGUUCAAUCCCCUACAUCAGGAAAAUAAACAAAAGUCAUUGAACUUAAGAAAUCCUAUCUUUCCACUCCACCCAGUAAGCAAUGUAUUAUUACUCAAAUAUAAUUUGGAGGAAGAGAAAGAAUAUAAGCUAGGGAAAGAAGAGAAACAGGCCAACAAAACAACUUUAGUUUCCCCAGCUCAGAUAAAUUUAUCAAGUGAUAAAUGCUGAGUUAUUUCCUUCUCUUUGUUUUCCUUAGUGCCAUAAAAAAUUACAUUUAAAAAUAUUCCAUUUUCCAAAAUGAAAACCUAAAAUUGUCAGGCUAGUUAGACUACUGAAAUAAAAAGUUAGUUCAAGUUCUGAAUUAGAAAUAGCAAAAAUAGUUUCCUUUACAUGCCAACUCUGAUCAGUUGAUAGUGACUACACAGCAUGUUGUGAGUACAUCUUAGGCUGUGAUAAGUUUAGAGAGAAAGAGGGCCAUGACCAUCAAUAUUAUUUGCUCCAGGAUUAGGACCGGUCAUUGACAACAUGAAUCCCAGGGCUAUUUUUGGUCUAAAAGAAUAUACUAUGUGUAAUGUAUCUUUAAACAAUUAAUUAUGAAAGAUUUGAAGUGGAGACGCUAUACAGAAUAAUAUAUAAGCACCUGUGUAUCCUCUAUUCAGUUUCAUAAACCAAAUACUUCCAAUAUGGUUGAAGCCAUAUUGCACGAUACUAGUAUGUUUUUGUAUGUUUUUCUACUAUAUAUAAUGGUAACACAAUGUAAAAAUAUUCUGCUUCCUGCUUGUUAUGUUUCACAUUAUAUGUGAGAUUCAUUCAUGCUGAUGUGCGUAGCUCUAAUUGAUUCAUCUUCAUUGUUGCUAAGAUUAAUUUAAAAUGGACUCAGGUUGGCAGUGCCAUGGUAGAAGCACAGGAUAAUUCUAACCUGAUAGGACCUAAUUAUGUUAAAUGUUAACUAUGCCCUCUGAAAUGACACACCCUCAACUACAUUUCAGAGAUUAAAACUCAAAAAUGUCCAAACAAAAACAAUAAACAGCAGAAUCAGACCCUCAGAAGUUCAAAUAUUGUACAUAUGAAUUUUUUAAAUUAAAAUGAAUAAUUAAAAUAUGAACACAUUAAAGUAGAAAAUAAGAGAAAAUGAUUCUCUGAUAAGCAAGAAAAAACAGGCAGAGUGAAAUGUGGGAAGCUGGUGUUGGUAAUGGUAUGGUUGAGAAUGUUUAUAAACACAAUAAGUAUAUUUAAAAUAUAAUCACAUUUAAAAUUAAUAAAAAUAAACCAGGGAAGUCAACCAUCUUACCUCUGAAAAAUCAUUUCU